This 497-nucleotide ribosomal RNA is filed under the name uncultured bacterium. RNAcentral describes it as "partial 16S ribosomal RNA". It matches the Rfam family "Bacterial small subunit ribosomal RNA", at positions 28 to 507 of the family's 1533-position model. The record is from RNAcentral.
GAUGAACGCUGGCGGCGUGCCUAAUACAUGCAAGUCGAGCGAACAGACGAGGAGCUUGCUCCUCUGACGUUAGCGGCGGACGGGUGAGUAACACGUGGAUAACCUACCUAUAGGACUGGGAUAACUUCGGGAAACCGGAGCUAAUACCGGAUAAUAUAUUGAACCGCAUGGUUCAAUAGUGAAAGACGGUUUUGCUGUCACUUAUAGAUGGAUCCGCGCCGCAUUAGCUAGUUGGUAAGGUAACGGCUUACCAAGGCAACGAUGCGUAGCCGACCUGAGAGGGUGAUCGGCCACACUGGAACUGAGACACGGUCCAGACUCCUACGGGAGGCAGCAGUAGGGAAUCUUCCGCAAAGGGCGAAAGCCUGACGGAGCAACGCCGCGUGAAUGAUGAAGGUCUUCGGAUCGUAAAACUCUGUUAUUAGGGAAGAACAAAUGUGUAAGUAACUAUGCACGUCUUGACGGUACCUAAUCAGAAAGCCACGGCUAACUACGUG